UACGGAGGGUGCCAGCGUUAUUCGGAAUUACUGGGUGUAAAGCGCGUGUAGGCGGUCUGGUAAGUCAGAUGUGAAAUCUCCGGGCUCAACCCGGAAAGUGCAUUUGAAACUGUCAGACUUGAGUCCGGGAGAGGGAGGUGGAAUUCCCAGUGUAGAGGUGAAAUUCGUAGAUAUUGGGAGGAACACCGGUGGCGAAGGCGACCUUCUGGACCGAGACUGACGCUGAGACGCGAAAGCGUGGGGAGCAAACAGG
Molecule: ribosomal RNA, 253 nt
Filed under: uncultured bacterium
Lineage: Bacteria
Description: partial 16S ribosomal RNA
Rfam family: Bacterial small subunit ribosomal RNA
Source: RNAcentral